AGAGUUUGAUCAUGGCUCAGGACGAACGCUGGCGGCGUGCCUAACACAUGCAAGUCGAGCGAUGAAACCCUUCGGGGUGGAUUAGCGGCGGACGGGUGAGUAACACGUGGGUAACCUGCCUCAAAGAGGGGAAUAGCCUCCCGAAAGGGAGAUUAAUACCGCAUAAUAUGUUUUAAUCGCAUGAUUGAGACAUCAAAGGAUUUUCUUCGGAAUUUCCACUUUGAGAUGGACCCGCGGCGCAUUAGCUAGUUGGUGAGGUAACGGCCCACCAAGGCAACGAUGCGUAGCCGACCUGAGAGGGUGAUCGGCCACAUUGGAACUGAGACACGGUCCAGACUCCUACGGGAGGCAGCAGUGGGGAAUAUUGCGCAAUGGGGGAAACCCUGACGCAGCAACGCCGCGUGAAUGAUGAAGGCCUUCGGGUUGUAAAGUUCUGUCUUCGGGGACGAUAAUGACGGUACCCGAGGAGGGAGCCACGGCUAACUACGUGCCAGCAGCCGCGGUAAUACGUAGGUGGCAAGCGUUGUCCGGAUUUACUGGGCGUAAAGGAUGCGUAGGCGGACAUUUAAGUCAGAUGUGAAAUACCCGAGCUUAACUUGGGUGCUGCAUUUGAAACUGGGUGUCUAGAGUGCAGGAGAGGUAAGUGGAAUUCCUAGUGUAGCGGUGAAAUGCGUAGAGAUUAGGAAGAACACCAGUGGCGAAGGCGACUUACUGGACUGUAACUGACGCUGAGGCAUGAAAGCGUGGGGAGCAAACAGGAUUAGAUACCCUAGUAGUCC
Molecule: ribosomal RNA, 779 nt
Filed under: uncultured bacterium
Lineage: Bacteria
Description: bacterial SSU rRNA
Rfam family: Bacterial small subunit ribosomal RNA
Source: RNAcentral